Long non-coding RNA from Alligator sinensis (Chinese alligator), 3628 nucleotides. RefSeq lists it as uncharacterized. Lineage: Eukaryota; Metazoa; Chordata; Crocodylia; Alligatoridae. The transcript is spliced from 3 exons. The record is from RefSeq and is a predicted model, not a curated record.
CACUUCCCUCACUCACUCCAAUUUGUUGCCCAGGGCCUCCAGCACCCGAGGGGAAUACAAUCUGUCACACAGUGUCAGCGUUCAGCUCCUGCCUCCUACAUGCAGAGGAGGAGUUGGGCCAGCAGGGUUGGACAUGGCUGCAAGGGAGAUUUUUAUUUAUUUUUUUAAUUAAUAUAUUUUGUGUUCCAGGUCAAAUCAGCCCCAUUGUAUCGAUUGAGCAGAACUCAAUUGUUCCAAAAACCAUAUGGAUUGAGCAGGCAGGACUCAAUCAUUCUCAACACCACCUAUGGUGCAACAACCGGCGAGCAACCUCCAUCCCAGGCUUUCACCCUGGGAUUUCAGAUACUCCCAAAUCCAUUGGCAGGCAUCCCAUGUGCAGGCCCAGGGCUGGAGGACUUGGGAUUCAGAUGCCCCAGCUUGAUCCAAGAGGCUGAGACACCUGAUUUGAGCCAAAAGGCCGAGAAGCUGCAAGGGAGAAAAUGCACCAAAACCACCUUGCAUAUCUAACCUGCUAGGGAUGGACGGAAACGCCCAGCACUGAGGGGCCCUGCCUCAGCACAGCACAGUCAGGUAGAAGCGGAGGCCCUCCCCUUGGCCAGAGGCCGUCCCUUUUAACCAUGAGCCACCCUGGGCCCGCCUGCCCCCACCACUUCCUCCGCCAGGGCCGCAUUUCAGAGCAAUGAACUUGGUAGGCAGGUUUUUCCUGCCUUGGGUUGCUAUGGAAACCUUCCUGAAAGCAGCCAUCUGGGACCUGGCAGAGAGAAAGACACUCAGCCUUGCUGCUGGCCUGCGAGUGCCAGGGGUGUGCAAGAGGACAGGGUGGGGGUGGAGGAAUCACAUCAGGAAGGCAGGUCACACGCUGCCUAGACGCAGGAGCCAAGGAAAAUGUCAUCUACCUGGACUUUAAGAAGGCCUUCGACACAGUUUUGCAUCCUAUUCUCAUAAGAAAUCUAGCAAGCUGUGGAGUGGAUGCUUACACAGUCAGGUUUCAACCCAGAGCAUCAGAGACUUGCUCCCUGGCCUCUGCUGAGAGAACCAACACAAGGCAAUUGUCACAGUGGUUUUAUGAUGUAGACAUCAGUCCACAGAGAACUGGACCAAGACCAGCAGCUCAUUUCACUCAAACCAUUGAAGAGUCAUCAUCAUCAGAAUGCAGCAAUUUCAGUUGCUACCAACCCAGCCAGAACUGAUAACAUUGGCUUUCAUACUCUGACUAUUGCCUAUUCUCCAAAUCACACCAUCUAUUUGAAUUCUGCCGUUUGGUAAGGUACUGUCCUGCUCCAGGAUAUCCAAAAGUUAAGUAUAUACCACCCACACCUACCAACAGCAGCAGCAUCUGGAGGCAAGAGGUCCUGAAAUGAGUGUUGUUUGAUCACAAACACAUACAUAAUAAUUCCUCUAUGUUGCUAUUACUACUGUUAACUAUGUACUUCAUCAUCACCCUCCCAAAACAUGGCUUCUUUAAUGGAAAGGAGAGGACAGUGUCUAUAGAACAUCCCUUAUGGACCAGUACAGAGCUGUGCCCCUCCCCCAUGCUCUCAUCAUAUCCCCCUGCUCCCCAAAGGCAGUCAUUUCACAAGUGAUGUCACCUGGCAUUAAGGAGGCACAAAACCCAGUCCUGACUAGGAUGGGGAAAGGUGGUAACAGUUUAUAUAUUCUACCAUUUUUCAAACAAAGUUAACUUAACCUUGCAUUAGCAAGGCAGGGCCAAUCACUAUGCUGGCCAUCCUAAUUACAUGUUAUACCUCUACCCUGUAUGCCUUCAGACUGUAAAUUCCCAGAAGAAGGACUAGUCGAUAAGCCCUCUUGUCUGUUUGGGAACACUACAGAGAAUAAAUAAGAAGUUAAUCCUCUUUCUGGUACCAGAGACCUGUUCUCUCUGGUCUCUGCGGCAACCCAAAGACUGCCUGGAAUCCAGAUUAUCCAGGAAGCAGCAGCGGCCCAUUGUUUCUUUCUGGGCUGGAAGGUGCUCCUAGUGAUCUCAAGAUUCAGCCACCAUACAAUGUCAUGUCUGCUGCUUGCAAGUGCCUUGGUUUGUUCUCAUUUGUUAUCUUUUUUUAAAAGCAAAGGAUGCUUGAUUUCUUCAAGAGACACUUCCUGCUUUACUCUUCUUAAGACAUUGCAUGUAACAAGGUAUCCUGAGGAUGACUAUGAUUUCACAAUGUGGGGACCUAUGACAACAUCUAAAGAAAAACUAAGUUGGUGUUGAAAUCCACAGCAAAAAAGCAACUCCUGCAAUUCAAUCAUCCCCUAAAGCAUUAUGGGAGGAGAAUAUAAAUACGAAAGGAAAAACAUUUCCCUUUUCCGCCCCCCAUCUGACCUUGGCAGCUCUGUAAGCAAUUUCUGAUAGAGCAAGGCCCCAAAACCACUCCCUGCAAAGAGAUUAGGCCUCAUUCACCCUGUUGGUUCUCCCCUUCUCUGCAUUCAUAUCGUCCUGCAUAAGAAACUGUUGCAUAAGUCCCCAUCUUUCCCUCUUGCUUUGCCAUGAUCUGAAAUUCAGAGGGUGGUGGCAUUCCUACUCAUGCCCAAAGCCUGGAGGCUAUUGCCAUGUUUCAAGCCCUGCUUUCCCCCCUCCCCCACAGCAGACAGAAACAGUCUGUCUUUCUCGCUCUCCUCUGAGUGAAUCUGAAAAGAAACAGAACAGGGCGACAUAAAGCCAGCAACGUCAGGUUAACAGUAGUAAAGGCCAAGAGCCUGUGCAUUUGGGAUUGGCGGCUAUCAGGAGAAAGUCAUGAGCUGCCUCUAACCAGCCAUGAACACAGGAAGAUAGAGGAGUGACAGGUGAGGGACAGAGGGCAAGGGAAAUGCAAAGAAGUACAAGGAAACAUGGGCAGAGAAAAUGAAGAUGCCCUUAUGAAACUCAAGCAUGAAGCCUUAGAGAAAAUGAGUCAGGAAGUGGUGGUGCAGCCCCUGAGUCACUACAUCAGGUGAGGUGGAAGCUGCCCGGGGCUGCAAAGGAGAAGUCUCCCCUACAUGACCCCCAUGGGGCAAGCACACACAGCCUUCACGCAGAGACCAGGUAGGAGCCCACCUGCCUGCCCAGCCAGCUGCCAGCACAACCCUACCCAGCAAAUGCCUAGGAAGCGCAAGUACGGCUUUGGUCGCCCAAAAGCAAAGCAGGGCAGUAACGUGGGAAGCUGCUCUGCUCCGGGUCAGGCUGUAGGAGUCAAAGGAGCCUGGUUGGCCACACGCACUUGGAGGUUGCUGUCACCAGGGCUGACACCCUUUGCUUCAGUGCCACGUGUGGACCCUGUCAGUGGCCGCCCCUCGUGGGAGGUGGCCACUGACAGCAGGGAGAGGAAAAGGCCAGCUACUGGGCACCCCUGGGGGGCAGGUGCUCCCCACACUGGGUGGCUCAUGCCCCAUCCCAUCCUGCCAGCUACUGGGGGCUGGCGGGGUCACGUCAGCGGUACCCAUGGGGCAGCCUGCGGACCUCAGGGUCUGGCCAGCCACCUCGUCCAUCCGUCCGUCUUGCUCGCACUCGGGCCCCUGCACCCAUCUGUCUGCUGGGGGCUGCCGUGGAUUUUCCCCUGAGCCUGGACUUGAUGCGCCCGGCCCCUGCCUGGGGGGCACCUAGCUGGGGGCACCGCCUGCCCACACACCCCCUGCCUAGGGCUUUUCUAUCCCU